GUGGGUUUAGUUUAAAGGUAGAACCACGGUCUCCAAAACCGUUAGUCCUCGUUCAAGUCGGGGAACCCAUGCCA
Molecule: transfer RNA, 74 nt
Filed under: compost metagenome
Description: tRNA-Trp
Rfam family: tRNA
About the family: Transfer RNA (tRNA) molecules are approximately 80 nucleotides in length. Their secondary structure includes four short double-helical elements and three loops (D, anti-codon, and T loops).
Source: RNAcentral